RNAcentral lists this ribosomal RNA (447 nucleotides) under uncultured bacterium. RNAcentral describes it as "partial 16S ribosomal RNA". It matches the Rfam family "Bacterial small subunit ribosomal RNA", at positions 30 to 523 of the family's 1533-position model. The record is from RNAcentral.
AUUGAACGCUGGCGGAAUGCUUAACACAUGCAAGUCGAGCGCCCCGCAAGGGGAGCGGCAGACGGGUGAGUAACGCGUGGGAAUCUACCCUUUCCUACGGAAUAGCUCCGGGAAACUGGAAUUAAUACCGUAUACGCCCUUAGGGGGAAAGAUUUAUCGGGGAAGGAUGAGCCCGCGUUGGAUUAGCUAGUUGGUGGGGUAAAGGCCUACCAAGGCGACGAUCCAUAGCUGGUCUGAGAGGAUGAUCAGCCACAUUGGGACUGAGACACGGCCCAAACUCCUACGGGAGGCAGCAGUGGGGAAUAUUGGACAAUGGGCGCAAGCCUGAUCCAGCCAUGCCGCGUGAGUGAUGAAGGCCUUAGGGUUGUAAAGCUCUUUCACCGGAGAAGAUAAUGACGGUAUCCGGAGAAGAAGCCCCGGCUAACUUCGUGCCAGCCGCCGCCGUAA